Rattus norvegicus (Norway rat) is the source of this 619-nucleotide non-coding RNA. The record is from RefSeq and is a predicted model, not a curated record. Lineage: Eukaryota; Metazoa; Chordata; Mammalia; Rodentia; Muridae.
AGAUGUUUAUCGUGGUUUUGCCAAGGUGGGAAACUUCACGUUGUCAUUCCUUGCUAGAAGGUUUCUGAGGAAUUGCCAAAGUGAUUUCCAAAGUGGUUGUACAAGUUUGCAUUCCAAUCAGCAAAGGAGAAGUGUUACCCUUGCUCCACAUCCUCCCUGAAGCCACAUAGCCAUGUGUGUACAGCCUGUGAAGCCAGAAGACCCUUCUUACUUUACACUGCAGCAUCAGGUGCUUCAUGCAGUCCUGUGCUCUACCCUCCUGGUGCCAUUCAGUGGACUCUGGAAAACACCGUGGUCUAGCUACAACUGAGGUUAGGGAACCUGAAGCUCCAGCAGAUAUAAUGACAAUGUCUCUCAGCAUAAACAGUGGAACCUAUGGCUUUGGGAAAUGGCCCAGUUGGUGAAGAUGAAGAACCGAGUUUGAGGUCCGGGACCCAUAGCAAGUUCUUUGAUCCACUCCAGAACCUUCAGAGAUCCCUGGGACUAAACAACCAACCAUGGAGGGACCCAUGGCUGAAUAUGUGUCAGAGGAUGGCCUUAUCUGACAUCAAUGGGUAGAGAAUCCCUUGGUCCUGUGAAGGCUUGAUGACCUAGUGUAGGGAAAUACCAGGGUGGUGAG